Molecule: ribosomal RNA, 375 nt
Filed under: uncultured organism
Description: partial 16S ribosomal RNA
Rfam family: Bacterial small subunit ribosomal RNA
Source: RNAcentral
GUAGGUGGCAAGCGUUGUCCGGAAUUAUUGGGCGUAAAGCGCGCGCAGGUGGGUUCUUUAAGUCUGAUGUGAAAGACCCCCGGGCUCAACCGGGGAGGGUCAUUGGAAACUGGGGAACUUGAGUGCAGGAGAGGAAAGUGGAAUUCCACGUGUAGCGGUGAAAUGCGUAGAUAUGUGGAGGAACACCAGUGGCGAAGGCGACUUUCUGGCCUGUAACUGACACUGAGGCGCGAAAACGUGGGGAGCAAACAGGAUUAGAUACCCUGGUAGUCCACGCCGUAAACGAUGAGUGCUAAGUGUUGGGGGGUUUCCGCCCCUCAGUGCUGCAGCUAACGCAUUAAGCACUCCGCCUGGGGAGUACGGUCGCAAAGACUG